CUUGAGUCCAAUUCUCUACUCGGUCUACUUCAGUCUGGUUUCCAUGCACAGCACUUAUAUAUAUUGUGAACGAAAAUGUGGAAUGGUUGUUGAAGGAAGAUAUAUCAGGCCUGCUCUGCUAAACAGCAGCCAGAGAAUUUUCAGUUAAGUUUGCAAAAUACAUUGCUGAUACUAUGCAAAACACAGUAUGGUUCCCUGGAG
Non-coding RNA from Pelobates cultripes (western spadefoot toad), 201 nucleotides. NCBI's taxonomy places the organism in Eukaryota, Metazoa, Chordata, Amphibia, Anura, Pelobatidae. The record is from the annotation of a GenBank genome assembly.